This 900-nucleotide ribosomal RNA is filed under the name Niphargus sp. 1 ZH-2022a. RNAcentral's name for it is "partial 16S ribosomal RNA". Lineage: Eukaryota; Metazoa; Arthropoda; Malacostraca; Amphipoda; Niphargidae. The record is from RNAcentral.
UUAAAAAAGUAAGGGUUUGUACCUUUUGUAUCAGGGUAUCUUCAAUUAUUUAAUUAGAGAGGUUUCUCGAAGCAAGUAUGAGCUAUUUAUAAUCUUGUUGAAUAAAUUAGUUAAUUAUUUAGUUAUGAAAUGUAUUCGAAUUUUGUGUUAACUAGUUAUUUAAAUAAAUUGCUUUAAAAAUUACUGGGGGUAAAGCCAAUAAAGAGGUUAACCUUUUUAUUAAUAUAGAUAUGUGUUACAAGGUUUUUAUAAUUAGUUGGGCUUAAUAUUAGCUAUAUUUAUAGUUUGUUAUAAAUAGUUAUUUGGUUUAGGAGGUAAUUAUGUGUGUUUAAGUUAUAUAGAGUAGUUUAAAUUUAAUAAAAAAAAUGAGGUUAUUAGUAAUAAAUUAUGGUUACUUAUUUAACUCGAAAAUUAUUUGAUUGUUUAUCAAAAACAUUUUUUUUAGUGGUUUAAAAGUAUGGCCUGCCCAGUGAUUUUAAACGGCUGCGGUAUUUUAACUGUACUAAGGUAGCAUAAUCAUUUGUUUUUUAAUUGAAAACUGGGAUGAACGGUCUUACAAAUAGUUAUUAAUAAUAAGUUAAUUUUAUUAACUUAUAUUUUGAGUAAAAAUACUCAGAUAAGGUAAAGGGACGAUAAGACCCUAAAAGCUUUAUACAUGUAUAAUUUAAGCUGGGUUUUAAUGUAUUUAGUUGGGGUAACGUAUUUAUAUUAAUUAUUAUAUAUAUUUACAAUUAAUUACUGGUAAAUUGAUCUUUUAUAUAAAGAAAAAUAGUACUAGUUACUUUAGGGAUAACAGCGCAAUAGUUAUAGAAAGGCCUUAUUAAUAUAAUUGAUUACGACCUCGAUGUUGAAUUAAAUAAUCUGUUUAUUGCAGCAGAUAAGCAAGAAGGUUGUUCAAAC